AGUUCGGAUUGCAGGCUGCAACUCGCCUGCAUGAAGCGGAAUCGCUAGUAAUCGCGAGUCAGCAUAUUGCGGUGAAUACGUUCCCGGGUCUUGUACACACCGCCCGUCACACCACGAAAGUUGGCAACACCCGAAGCCGAUGGGCUAACCGCAAGGGGGCAGUCGUCUAAGGUGGGGUCGAUGAUUGGGGUGAAGUCGUAACAAGGUACC
This 210-nucleotide ribosomal RNA is filed under the name uncultured bacterium. RNAcentral describes it as "partial 16S ribosomal RNA". It matches the Rfam family "Bacterial small subunit ribosomal RNA", at positions 1290 to 1500 of the family's 1533-position model. The record is from RNAcentral.